CAACUUUUUACUACAAGAAGUAGCCAAAAUAGAGUAAUUUUCUCCAUUUAACCAAAUAAUCCUCUUCUUAGAGGAUGUUGUCUUUUAAUCAAGAUGUUCACUGAUAUGAUAAAGUUCAAACAAAAUAUCAUAUGUUUAAAUACAUGUAUAAUUAUUCCAAAGACUACAGAUUCAAAGGCGUGAUCGUGGCUCCUGGCUCCCGUCUACUUUUCUGAAGAAUGGGUAGUCUGUGUACCCAACAACAGGAUCUUGGGUGUAGAAUGUUUUCCUGACAUACUUAUUCAAGGGCGCAUUGAGCUUAAAUCUCAAGACUAAGUCUGGGUUUGAAAUAAAAAGUCGGCCAUAAGAUACCAAAUCUGCAUCAUCUUGAGCUAUAGCUUCCAUUCCUAGCUCCCUCGUGAACCCACCGCUACAGAUGAAAGUUCCCUUAUAAGCCCUUCUCCAAGUUCUCAUUAAUCUAGCUUCCUCUUCUUCAGUACCAUGUCUGCCUGAUUCUGUUUGGCCAUAAGCUGUGUAGCGAGGCUGAGUGACAUGGAGAUAAGUGAGUUUUGAUCCAAGGUUCAACUGAAGUUUGUUAAGUCUCUCGAUUACAGCAAGACCCAAGUUGAGCGGAUCAGAAUCUAUGGCAUCUAGGUGAUCAAUUGCCGGUGACAUUCUGAAACCAACUCGAUCAGCACCAAUAGCUGCAACUACUGCCUGAAUCACCUGCAUUAGGAAUCUGCAUCGAUUGUUGAUUGAUCCACCAUACUCAUCUGUUCGGUCAUUGAUCCCAUCUUUUAAGAAUUGAUCUACAAGGUAACCAUGAGCCCCAUGGAUCUCAAUUCCAUCAAAGCCUGCUCGAAUGGCAUUCAAGGCUGCCUGGCAAUAACUCUCCACUACCUCUAGUAUUUCAGGAGUUUCAAAGGCCUAGAUGUUGGGUAUUUCCCAUAGGACCCAUCUUGCAUGAGAAUUCUCCACCUGUUCUAGAUGGCCCUGCCCGUCAAUGAGAUGGGUACAGCUCCACUAGGUUGAUAAACUAAUUUGCUUAUGCAAAAAGGAAGUGAAUUUGAGCCUAGUAGUGCUGCUACGUUGUUACAUAUGGAUAGAAAAAGAACCUUGAUGAGAUGCGCGGCCAUUCCAACAUGCCACAGUUGACAGAAUAUGAUGCUCCCUUUGGCAUGAACUGCAUCCACCACCUUCUUCCAUGCCUCCACUUCUUGUUCUGUAUAAAUUCCAGGACAUGGGGAUACCUGGUUUUCACAAUUAAAAGUAGUUAUCUUUUUUUCUCAAAAGUAACUGCGCUGCUAAAAAGCGAAAAAAUGAUUUGGUAGCUAGUGAGACAGGCCCUUUUCAUAUCAUCAAAAUCACAAUAAAAUAAACUAUUGUUUGAGUUAAUAUAUCAAAGCACCUUCUCCACACCCUGGGCAGUCUUAUCUUUUUUUUUUUAUUUAAAGAAAAAGUACACGGAUUUAAAAAAAAAAGAUUGACAAGAACUGAUAUUAAAUUAAGAUAUUAAGAAUCUUUCAAACGAAAAUCUAGCAUUGUCUAGUAAUGUAAUAAAUUCUUUGUCUAGUCAAACCCCAGCCAUCAAACUUGAAUAAGAAGUCCCAAGUCCAUAAAAAAACAAAGGCACAAGCAGUAGCACAACCCUUGACCAAAAGACGGCAUAGGAGGCAGCUUCUUCCUUUCAAAAUUUGAUAAAUUUUUUAAGGUUAAUAAUUAAAAUAAACCUAUUUUCAUCAUUUAUCUAUGUUUGACAUUGAGGGUGAUGGGUAGAAAUUUUUUUUUUAAAAUAGAUUUUUUAACUAAUAUAUUUAGAAAUAUACUUUUCUAAUCCUAAUUCCUAAAGAGAUUUUUAACAUUAUUUUAAAAGGCUUGGGCCCAUGGUUCAUGGCUGACUGAGUGCUUUUAGGGACCCAUCAAGCACUAAACAGAAGUAGGUGGAAGCAGACAACUAAUAAUGAAUAAUAAUAGCAGUGUGCCAGAUAAAGGAAAUCGAUAGUACCCAGGGCCAGGGGCAGUGGGGGAAACCAGUGUGCCUUCCCGUACGAGAAAUCCGCCCUGGAGUAGAUCUCUGGGGGUAGUAAUACACCAGCGCUGCGUUUGGUAUCCUAUUCAACACUCUACAUCUAGUCAUGGGCGCCAGCACCACCCUGCCGAUCACCACCUCCCCGUAAAUCUCGAGAUAUACGUAUAUAUAUGAAAAAUGAACUCGCACACAAUGACAGAAAUGCCCUCCCGGAUCUCCUCUCGCCAUCGCUAAUCCUAAGAAAACCGUACCACUAAAUCUGUGGAGGCAUAGGAAGAGAAGAGAAUGAGAAGAACUGACCUGCGAGAGAGGCCGAACUUGCCCAUCUUGUAAGGGUUUGUUUGAAUAGGGUGAAGGUUUAGUAAAAUAAGAUAAAAAGAUAAAAGGAAAAUAUAAUAGGAAUAAGUUUUAUUUAUAUUUGAGAAGAGAAU
This 2439-nucleotide unclassified non-coding RNA is filed under the name Hevea brasiliensis (rubber tree). The record is from RNAcentral. Lineage: Eukaryota; Viridiplantae; Streptophyta; Magnoliopsida; Malpighiales; Euphorbiaceae.